Long non-coding RNA from Sapajus apella (tufted capuchin), 415 nucleotides. RefSeq lists it as uncharacterized. Lineage: Eukaryota; Metazoa; Chordata; Mammalia; Primates; Cebidae. The record is from RefSeq and is a predicted model, not a curated record. The transcript is spliced from 2 exons.
AUCUUGCAGGAUUGUUACAUAGGUAUACACAUGCCAAGGUGAUUUGCUGCCUCCAUCCCCCCCCACCUCCCCGCCACCUACUUUUUUAGUAGUUUUUAAUUAGGGUAUGGGAGGGGUAAGGAGGUUUUCUAUAAACUGUAUCAUUUUCUGCUGAGGGUGGAGUGUCCCAUCCUUUUAAUCAAGAUGAUUAUGAUUUUGACUAAUAAAAAAGACUUUUUAAAAAUAAAGUUACAAUGUUACUAGAAGUCUAAACUGGAGGGUGGGGGAGGAUAGGGGAUGCUGGGGUUAAUUCAGGCCAUUUGAAGUAAGUAGAAUUUCUCUUAUCCAUAAAAUGUAAUUUGGGUAAUAACCUUUGAAGAGACUGUUAUUUAUGUAAACUCAUUUGGUUACUACCAAUAAAAUGCAGAGAUCUGAA